Molecule: ribosomal RNA, 546 nt
Filed under: beta proteobacterium K13
Lineage: Bacteria; Pseudomonadati; Pseudomonadota; Betaproteobacteria
Description: bacterial SSU rRNA
Rfam family: Bacterial small subunit ribosomal RNA
Source: RNAcentral
GGGAAUAUUGGACAAUGGGCGAAAGCCUGAUCCAGCCAUGCCGCGUGUGUGAAGAAGGUCUUCGGAUUGUAAAGCACUUUAAGUUGGGAGGAAGGGCAGUAACCUAAUACGUUGCUGUCUUGACGUUACCGACAGAAUAAGCACCGGCUAACUACGUGCCAGCAGCCGCGGUAAUACGUAGGGUGCAAGCGUUAAUCGGAAUUACUGGGCGUAAAGCGUGCGCAGGCGGUUGUGCAAGACAGAUGUGAAAUCCCCGGGCUCAACCUGGGAAUUGCAUUUGUGACUGCACGGCUAGAGUGUGUCAGAGGGGGGUAGAAUUCCACGUGUAGCAGUGAAAUGCGUAGAUAUGUGGAGGAAUACCGAUGGCGAAGGCAGCCCCCUGGGAUAACACUGACGCUCAUGCACGAAAGCGUGGGGAGCAAACAGGAUUAGAUACCCUGGUAGUCCACGCCCUAAACGAUGUCUACUAGUUGUCGGGUCUUAAUUGACUUGGUAACGCAGCUAACGCGUGAAGUAUACCGCCUGGGGAGUACGGUCGCAAGAUUA